GAAUUUUGGACAAUGGGCGAAAUCCUGACCCAGCAAUGCCGCGUGCUGGAUGAAGGCGUUCGGGUUGUAAACUGCUUUUGUACGGAACGAAUAGCUUAGGGUUAAUACCCUGGAGUCGUGACGGUAUCGUGCGAAUCAGCCCCGGCUAACUACUUGCCAGCAACCGCGGUAAUACGAAGGGUGCAAGCGUUAAUCGGCAUUACUGGGCGUAAAGCGUGCGCAGGUGGUUUUGUAAGACAGAGGUGAAAUCCCCGGGCUCAACCUGGGAACUGCCUUUGUGACUGCAAGGCUAGAGUACGGCAGAGGGGGGUGGAAUUCCGCGUGUAGCAGUGAAAUGCGUAGAUAUGCGGAGGAACACCGAUGGCGAAGGCAACCCCCUGGGCCUGUACUGACGCUCAUGCACGAAAGCGUGGGGAGCAAAC
Molecule: ribosomal RNA, 422 nt
Filed under: uncultured bacterium
Lineage: Bacteria
Description: partial 16S ribosomal RNA
Rfam family: Bacterial small subunit ribosomal RNA
Source: RNAcentral